AUGGCAUCAAGCACCGGGGAGGAAGCUCCUGCCUCACCCGUUUUGGGAAAUGCUCCUCCAUUGGUGACCACGGAAGCCAAGAUGAUUGUGGCCAUCGGCCAUGACCAUUGCCAGCAGUUGAAGGAUGUGUUGAGCAAGGAGGAUUCUUCCACCAUGGUAGUGGUGAUGGCCUCAAGCAACCAGACUCCCACGCCGCCCAAGCCUCACUUGCCGGUCAUGGAUUCCAGGCUGCUAGCAGUAGCUUGCUCUGGUUCAUGGAAGAAGCUGCAAUCAUUUCUCAGUGGGGAAGGCCGUCAAACCUCCGGCGACGGGGCUAUCCGAAGCUCUGCUAUGCAGCCAGCUUUUGGUGACGAAGAAGCACUUCUCAGGGAGUCUUUCCUGGAUGCGGUCACCAUGGACGGUGACACUUUUCUCCAUGUGAUGGCCACCAACAGUGAUGGCGACAACUUGGAGGAAGAUGGCCCCAUACGCAGGAAGGCAGUAAGCCUCCUCUUCAUGCAAAACAGCCAGGGAGAUACGCCCCUGCACUAUGCUGCACGGGCGGCGAAAAUCAAUAUGGUAUCUUUUCUCAUUGAUCUUGCUGGAGGCAAGGAUCAAAAUGCUGACAGAGUGAAGGCGCUGCUAGAAAUGGAAAACAAGAGUAAAUGGACAGUCUUGCAUGAGGCGGUCCGCAGUGGGAAAAAUGAUAUAGUCGAAUUGCUCAUGAAGGAGGAUCCAGAAUUGGCAAGUCUUCCAAAAGCUGGUACUUCUCCGCUGUACCUAGCCAUCUUACUGGAAAACAGAAUCAUCGCCGAAACACUCUACAAGUUGAGCCGCGGGAAAAGCGGCAGUAACGACGAGAACCUUUCAUACUCUGGACCAAGUGGACAAAAUGCAUUGCAUGCUGCUGUUCUCCGAGGCAAAGGUCUUACAGAGAUGGUGUUAGGAUGGAAUAACGACCUUACAGCACAACAAGAUGAUAAGGGAAGUACAGCUCUUCACUUAGUUGCAUCUAUGCCACGUCAAAAAGACCGACGAUACAUACGUUUACUUCUACUGGAAGCCAAUCCAGAUGCAUUGUAUCAAAUGGACAAUGAUGGAUCAUUCCCCAUACACGUGGCUGCAUCCGUUGGCUCAAGAAUUACCAUCAAUGUCUUUCUUCAGAAAUCGCCCAGUUGCGCUGGUCUACGUGAUGCUAGGGGAAGGACAUUUCUUCAUGUUGCAGUUGACAAAAUGAAAAUAUGGCCGGUCUGGUCUGCUUGCAGAAACCAGUCGUUAUCAUGGAUUUUAAAUAUGCAAGACAAUGGUGGAAACACUGCACUGCAUUUAGCCGUCCAAAAAGGAACACUGAUGAUAUUCUGUGCUAUAUUUGGGAAUAAACAAGUGCACUUAAAUUUAACAAAUGAGAAAGGAGAGACCCCGCUUGAUAUAGCACAUUGCAAUAUUCCCAAAGAAUUGCAUUAUAACCAGAACGCUGAAGUAAAAAUACAUCUAGCGCUCCAAGUCGCUGAUGCUAAACGGGGCAUUUGUCGCCUGGAUUACUUUGAAGAAAAUGAUAUUGUCCAAGUGAGAAAAGAUGAAAUGGAGAAAGUGAAAGAAGGGACAGGCAGUCUGUGUAUUGGCUCUGUCCUAAUUGCAACUGUGACUUUUGCUGCAUCUUUCGCCAUCCCUGGAGGUUACAGGGCUGAUGACCACACUAAUGGGGGCACACCAACGCUUGCUGGAAAGUAUACUUUUGAUGUGUUCACCAUAGCCAAUGCACUUGCCUUCACUUUCUCUGCAAUGGCUACUAUUUCUCUCAUGUUUUCUGGAUCUCCCAUGGUAUCUCUUCCAAUCCGGAAAAUGCACAUACAAUUGGCCUAUUUUCUCAUGGGGAUUUCGGUUACAAACUUGACAACUGCCUUUGCACUUGGUAGCUAUACGAUGUUAGCUCCAGUUGCCCAUAAGAUUGCCAUUGCAGUAUGUGUCAUGAGUUUUCUCGUAUUGCUAUAUCAGAAUUUGGACCUGACAAUCAAGAAUUGUGUUCUUGUGUCACCGUUGUUGAGGAGAAAGGGGAUAUGUUAUAGGAUAGUCACUAUCCCAUUGACAGCAUUCAUGUUCAUGGGCUCUGUUCUAUUUCAACUUCUUCCUGUAGUUGUGGUCUUUUAUUUGACUGUGUUAAGUCAUACCGGUCACAAAGUGGAACCAGCCGCACAACCACCGACACCAUUAGCUUGA
This 2196-nucleotide ribosomal RNA is filed under the name Triticum aestivum (bread wheat). RNAcentral describes it as "partial small subunit ribosomal RNA". Lineage: Eukaryota; Viridiplantae; Streptophyta; Magnoliopsida; Poales; Poaceae. The record is from RNAcentral.